Molecule: ribosomal RNA, 132 nt
Filed under: Capnobotryella sp. MA 4642
Lineage: Eukaryota; Fungi; Ascomycota; Dothideomycetes; Mycosphaerellales; Teratosphaeriaceae
Description: partial 18S ribosomal RNA
Rfam family: Eukaryotic small subunit ribosomal RNA
Source: RNAcentral
GGCUCAGUGAGGCCUUCGGACUGGCCCAGGGAGGUCGGCAACGACCACCCAGGGCCGGAAAGUUCGUCAAACUUGGUCAUUUAGAGGAAGUAAAAGUCGUAACAAGGUCUCCGUAGGUGAACCUGCGGAGGG